AGUCGUAACAAGGUUUCCGUAGGUGAACCUGCGGAAGGAUCAUUAGUGAAUUGCUCUUUGAGCGUUAAACUAUAUCCAUCUACACCUGUGAACUGUUGAUUGACUUCGGUCAAUUACUUUUACAAACAUUGUGUAAUGAACGUCAUGUUAUUAUAACAAAAAUAACUUUCAACAACGGAUCUCUUGGCUCUCGCAUCGAUGAAGAACGCAGCGAAAUGCGAUAAGUAAUGUGAAUUGCAGAAUUCAGUGAAUCAUCGAAUCUUUGAACGCAACUUGCGCUCUCUGGUAUUCCGGAGAGCAUGCCUGUUUGAGUAUCAUGAAAUCUCAACCAUUAGGGUUUCUUAAUGGCUUGGAUUUGGGCGCUGCCACUUGCCUGGCUCGCCUUAAAAGAGUUAGCGUAUUAACUUGUCGAUCUGGCGUAAUAAGUUUCGCUGGUGUAGACUUGAGAAGUGCGCUUCUAAUCGUCUUCGGACAAUUCUUGAACUCUGGUCUCAAAUCAGGUAGGACUACCCGCUGAACUUAAGCAUAUCAAUAAGCGGAGGAAAAGAAACUAACUAGGAUUCCCUUAGUAACGGCGAGUGAACCGGGAAAAGCUCAAAUUUGUAAUCUGGCUGUCUUCGAUAGUCCGAGUUGUAAUCUAUAGACGUGUUUUCCGUGCUGGACCGUAUCUAAGUCCCUUG
This 680-nucleotide unclassified non-coding RNA is filed under the name Cutaneotrichosporon dermatis. Its description in RNAcentral is "sequence contains 18S rRNA gene, ITS1, 5.8S rRNA gene, ITS2, 28S rRNA gene". The stretch from base 164 to 317 matches the Rfam family "5.8S ribosomal RNA". The record is from RNAcentral. Lineage: Eukaryota; Fungi; Basidiomycota; Tremellomycetes; Trichosporonales; Trichosporonaceae.